CGCUGACAUGACAGCUUACAUCUUAAGCAAAACAAAAUUAAAAACAAGAAAAAAUAAUGAUAAAAUAGAUUGACCAAAGGUCUUUAUGAAAACAUUGCCGUUCUUAUAAUACAGUGAUAGUCGACGAAGCAUUUAAAAAUAUAUUCCUUCGGUGUUUACAAACCGUCGGGUCAUCAGUCAACGAGUACUCUUCGUUCCGAUCAGUCUCUUACUUGUUGUUACUGCUGUAAAUUUACAAAGCUGUCCAGCUUCGACAACAAUCAAAAUGGCAUCACCAGAUUUUUACAAAGAGGCAAAAUCAAUUCAUGAAUUCACCGCUGUAGACAGCUAUGGAAACGCCAUUUCGUUGGACAAAUAUUAGGGCAAUGUUGUCUAAUCGUCAAUAUAGCGUCCAACUGUGGCC
Bradysia coprophila is the source of this 403-nucleotide long non-coding RNA. The record is from RefSeq and is a predicted model, not a curated record. NCBI's taxonomy places the organism in Eukaryota, Metazoa, Arthropoda, Insecta, Diptera, Sciaridae.